UGCGGGGUGGAGAAGUAGUAUCUCGCCAGCCUCAUAACCUGGAGAACGCAUGUGCAAUUCAUGCCCCCGCAA
This 72-nucleotide transfer RNA is filed under the name Patescibacteria group bacterium. RNAcentral describes it as "tRNA-Met". It matches the Rfam family "tRNA". From Rfam's summary of the family: Transfer RNA (tRNA) molecules are approximately 80 nucleotides in length. Their secondary structure includes four short double-helical elements and three loops (D, anti-codon, and T loops). The record is from RNAcentral.